GGGUCGAUGCCCGAGUGGUUAAUGGGGGCGGAUUGUAAAUCCGUUGGUUACACCUACGCUGGUUCAAAUCCAGCUCGGCCCA
RNAcentral lists this transfer RNA (82 nucleotides) under Ignatius tetrasporus. RNAcentral's name for it is "tRNA-Tyr". It matches the Rfam family "tRNA". From Rfam's summary of the family: Transfer RNA (tRNA) molecules are approximately 80 nucleotides in length. Their secondary structure includes four short double-helical elements and three loops (D, anti-codon, and T loops). RNAcentral also lists the same sequence under 1 other name. The record is from RNAcentral. Lineage: Eukaryota; Viridiplantae; Chlorophyta; Ulvophyceae; Ignatiales; Ignatiaceae.